UGUUUCUCAAAACUUUGAAUAUUUUUGGAAGAUCGGAAGAAGAUUACUACGGAAAAUAUGUAGAUUAAAGGAUACGGUCUAUGCCCAAUGCCCCAUUUGAAGUAGUUUCGUGCAGUUUUUAACAAAUACACAACAAUAGAAACUGCAAGAUUUUUAUGCAAUUCAGAAAGUUGUUGUGUUAGUUACUGAACCGUGGGAACUAAUAAAAAAAAUCUGUUAACACAGAAAACUUAAUCCCUUCAUAUGCUUUAUAAGAGUUGGCAUUGAUGGAGCUCAAGGUUCACUGAAAGUCGAAAUGAACAUCUUCAACCCACAAGAGCUAUAUUCAGAGAAAAGAAAAAUGAAACAUACAUGAGUUAAUACAGUUCUUGUUUUAGGUUUUGUUUGUGGAGUACAAAAAAGUAAUUAUAAUUUAGAGAGGCUAGUUUAAGUUACUUAAGCUGAAUGAGCUAAAAUAGACAGUAGCAGCUGACCUGAAGCUUAUUAUUUGUUUACUUGGGCAUUUCUGCACACGGGGGAAAGUAUGCUUGCUGUUAUUGUGAAGAAAAAAAAGAUGACAAAAAUGGAAAGUUGAGGUUUUUCAAAGUUUAACUAAUUGGCAUCAGAAAUUUAUUGAGGAUGGUGAACUCUAUAAGCACAUGAAAAAACAUAGUAAUGUUGUUUGGCCAUGGCUAAUUGAGGAGUCUAGAGAAACUCUUGUUUUUGUUAUAGUUCCGCCUCCUGAAUUACAUUUGUAUGAAAAUAUUAUCACACAAAUAACAGACGUUCUAAUGGCUAAGAACUCAACUAAAAAUUUCUUACUUAGUAAAACUGUAACAAGGCACAGUUACAAUGGAGAAGCAUUUGAUGGACCUAACUGUCAAAAAGUAUUUCUUGCUUGGAUGAACUUAAAACUAUAGCUCCUCUGCUAAUGAUACCUUGUAUUUAAGGAAAUUUAAAUUGACUUUUAAUGAAAUUCUAAAAUGAAAAUUUCUAGAAAGAUUAAUCAAAACUUGGGUAUUUUUAGUGUGCGAAGCAUUGUCUUGUUAAUAUUUACAAAAUAUUAACAAGAAAAUGACAAGAUUUGCAACUUCAGAGCUGAGCGAUUGCCAUGAAGAAAAAUUUCGUAAAAUAGCCGUAACCUACUCUAGUAUGAGAAUGUGAAUAAUUUAUUAUAUAGUAAAAAAUAUUGCUCAGUUGUAAAUAUAAGAAGUAAUCAUAAAUAAAAAAUGUUUUCAAAAAUUA
Non-coding RNA from Hydra vulgaris (swiftwater hydra), 1224 nucleotides. Lineage: Eukaryota; Metazoa; Cnidaria; Hydrozoa; Anthoathecata; Hydridae. The record is from RefSeq and is a predicted model, not a curated record.